AGUGAACGCUGGCGGUAGGCCUAACACAUGCAAGUCGAACGGCAGCACAGUAAGAGCUUGCUCUUACGGGUGGCGAGUGGCGGACGGGUGAGGAAUACAUCGGAAUCUACUUUUUCGUGGGGGAUAACGUAGGGAAACUUACGCUAAUACCGCAUACGACCUACGGGUGAAAGCAGGGGAUCUUCGGACCUUGCGCGAUUGAAUGAGCCGAUGUCGGAUUAGCUAGUUGGCGGGGUAAAGGCCCACCAAGGCGACGAUCCGUAGCUGGUCUGAGAGGAUGAUCAGCCACACGGGAACUGAGACACGGACCAGACGCCUACGGGAGGCAGCAGUGGGGAAUAGUGGACAAUGGGCGCAAGCCUGAUCCAGCCAUACCGCGUGGGUGAAGAAGGCCUUCGGGUUGUAAAGCCCUUUUGUUGGGAAAGAAAAGCAGCAGGUUAAUACCCCGCUGUUCUGACGGUACCCAAAGAAUAAGCACCGGCUAACUUCGUG
RNAcentral lists this ribosomal RNA (492 nucleotides) under uncultured bacterium. Its description in RNAcentral is "partial 16S ribosomal RNA". It matches the Rfam family "Bacterial small subunit ribosomal RNA", at positions 29 to 507 of the family's 1533-position model. The record is from RNAcentral.